AACGCUAGCUACAGGCUUAACACAUGCAAGUCGAGGGGCAGCAUGGUCUUAGCUUGCUAAGGCCGAUGGCGACCGGCGCACGGGUGAGUAACACGUAUCCAACCUGCCGUCUACUCUUGGACAGCCUUCUGAAAGGAAGAUUAAUACAAGAUGGCAUCAUGAGUCCGCAUGUUCACAUGAUUAAAGGUAUUCCGGUAGACGAUGGGGAUGCGUUCCAUUAGAUAGUAGGCGGGGUAACGGCCCACCAAGCCUUCGAUGGAUAGGGGUUCUGAGAGGAAGGUCCCCCACAUUGGAACUGAGACACGGUCCAAACUCCUACGGGAGGCAGCAGUGAGGAAUAUUGGUCAAUGGACGAGAGUCUGAACCAGCCAAGUAGCGUGAAGGAUGACUGCCCUAUGGGUUGUAAACUUCUUUUAUACGGGAAUAAAGUGAGGCACGCGUGCCUUUUUGUAUGUACCGUAUGAAUAAGGAUCGGCUAACUCCGUGCCAGCAGCCGCGGUAAUACGGAGGAUCCGAGCGUUAUCCGGAUUUAUUGGGUUUAAAGGGAGCGUAGGCGGACGCUUAAGUCAGUUGUGAAAGUUUGCGGCUCAACCGUAAAAUUGCAGUUGAUACUGGGUGUCUUGAGUACAGUAGAGGCAGGCGGAAUUCGUGGUGUAGCGGUGAAAUGCUUAGAUAUCACGAAGAACUCCGAUUG
This 694-nucleotide ribosomal RNA is filed under the name uncultured bacterium. Its description in RNAcentral is "bacterial SSU rRNA". It matches the Rfam family "Bacterial small subunit ribosomal RNA", at positions 32 to 715 of the family's 1533-position model. The record is from RNAcentral.